Molecule: ribosomal RNA, 2787 nt
Filed under: Escherichia coli
Lineage: Bacteria; Pseudomonadati; Pseudomonadota; Gammaproteobacteria; Enterobacterales; Enterobacteriaceae
Description: bacterial LSU rRNA
Source: RNAcentral
AGCGUACACGGUGGAUGCCCUGGCAGUCAGAGGCGAUGAAGGACGUGCUAAUCUGCGAUAAGCGUCGGUGAGGUGAUAUGAACCGUUAUAACCGGCGAUUUCCGAAUGGGGAAACCCAGUGUGUUUCGACACACUAUCAUUAACUGAAUCCAUAGGUUAAUGAGGCGAACCGGGGGAACUGAAACAUCUAAGUACCCCGAGGAAAAGAAAUCAACCGAGAUUCCCCCAGUAGCGGCGAGCGAACGGGGAGGAGCCCAGAGCCUGAAUCAGUGUGUGUGUUAGUGGAAGCGUCUGGAAAGGCGCGCGAUACAGGGUGACAGCCCCGUACACAAAAAUGCACAUAUUGUGAGCUCGAUGAGUAGGGCGGGACACGUGGUAUCCUGUCUGAAUAUGGGGGGACCAUCCUCCAAGGCUAAAUACUCCUGACUGACCGAUAGUGAACCAGUACCGUGAGGGAAAGGCGAAAAGAACCCCGGCGAGGGGAGUGAAAAAGAACCUGAAACCGUGUACGUACAAGCAGUGGGAGCCUCUUAAUGGGGUGACUGCGUACCUUUUGUAUAAUGGGUCAGCGACUUAUAUUCUGUAGCAAGGUUAACCGAAUAGGGGAGCCGAAGGGAAACCGAGUCUUAACUGGGCGUUAAGUUGCAGGGUAUAGACCCGAAACCCGGUGAUCUAGCCAUGGGCAGGUUGAAGGUUGGGUAACACUAACUGGAGGACCGAACCGACUAAUGUUGAAAAAUUAGCGGAUGACUUGUGGCUGGGGGUGAAAGGCCAAUCAAACCGGGAGAUAGCUGGUUCUCCCCGAAAGCUAUUUAGGUAGCGCCUCGUGAAUUCAUCUCCGGGGGUAGAGCACUGUUUCGGCAAGGGGGUCAUCCCGACUUACCAACCCGAUGCAAACUGCGAAUACCGGAGAAUGUUAUCACGGGAGACACACGGCGGGUGCUAACGUCCGUCGUGAAGAGGGAAACAACCCAGACCGCCAGCUAAGGUCCCAAAGUCAUGGUUAAGUGGGAAACGAUGUGGGAAGGCCCAGACAGCCAGGAUGUUGGCUUAGAAGCAGCCAUCAUUUAAAGAAAGCGUAAUAGCUCACUGGUCGAGUCGGCCUGCGCGGAAGAUGUAACGGGGCUAAACCAUGCACCGAAGCUGCGGCAGCGACACUAUGUGUUGUUGGGUAGGGGAGCGUUCUGUAAGCCUGUGAAGGUGGCCUGUGAGGGUUGCUGGAGGUAUCAGAAGUGCGAAUGCUGACAUAAGUAACGAUAAAGCGGGUGAAAAGCCCGCUCGCCGGAAGACCAAGGGUUCCUGUCCAACGUUAAUCGGGGCAGGGUGAGUCGACCCCUAAGGCGAGGCCGAAAGGCGUAGUCGAUGGGAAACAGGUUAAUAUUCCUGUACUUGGUGUUACUGCGAAGGGGGGACGGAGAAGGCUAUGUUGGCCGGGCGACGGUUGUCCCGGUUUAAGCGUGUAGGCUGGUUUUCCAGGCAAAUCCGGAAAAUCAAGGCUGAGGCGUGAUGACGAGGCACUACGGUGCUGAAGCGACAAAUGCCCUGCUUCCAGGAAAAGCCUCUAAGCAUCAGGUAACAUCAAAUCGUACCCCAAACCGACACAGGUGGUCAGGUAGAGAAUACCAAGGCGCUUGAGAGAACUCGGGUGAAGGAACUAGGCAAAAUGGUGCCGUAACUUCGGGAGAAGGCACGCUGAUAUGUAGGUGAAGCGACUUGCUCGUGGAGCUGAAAUCAGUCGAAGAUACCAGCUGGCUGCAACUGUUUAUUAAAAACACAGCACUGUGCAAACACGAAAGUGGACGUAUACGGUGUGACGCCUGCCCGGUGCCGGAAGGUUAAUUGAUGGGGUUAGCGGUAACGCGAAGCUCUUGAUCGAAGCCCCGGUAAACGGCGGCCGUAACUAUAACGGUCCUAAGGUAGCGAAAUUCCUUGUCGGGUAAGUUCCGACCUGCACGAAUGGCGUAAUGAUGGCCAGGCUGUCUCCACCCGAGACUCAGUGAAAUUGAACUCGCUGUGAAGAUGCAGUGUACCCGCGGCAAGACGGAAAGACCCCGUGAACCUUUACUAUAGCUUGACACUGAACAUUGAGCCUUGAUGUGUAGGAUAGGUGGGAGGCUUUGAAGUGUGGACGCCAGUCUGCAUGGAGCCGACCUUGAAAUACCACCCUUUAAUGUUUGAUGUUCUAACGUGGGCCCCUUACCGGGGUUGCGGACAGUGUCUGGKGGGKAGUUUGACUGGGGCGGUCUCCUCCUAAAGAGUAACGGAGGAGCACGAAGGUUGGCUAAUCCUGGUCGGACAUCAGGAGGUUAGUGCAAUGGCAUAAGCCAGCUUGACUGCGAGCGUGACGGCGCGAGCAGGUGCGAAAGCAGGUCAUAGUGAUCCGGUGGUUCUGAAUGGAAGGGCCAUCGCUCAACGGAUAAAAGGUACUCCGGGGAUAACAGGCUGAUACCGCCCAAGAGUUCAUAUCGACGGCGGUGUUUGGCACCUCGAUGUCGGCUCAUCACAUCCUGGGGCUGAAGUAGGUCCCAAGGGUAUGGCUGUUCGCCAUUUAAAGUGGUACGCGAGCUGGGUUUAGAACGUCGUGAGACAGUUCGGUCCCUAUCUGCCGUGGGCGCUGGAGAACUGAGGGGGGCUGCUCCUAGUACGAGAGGACCGGAGUGGACGCAUCACUGGUGUUCGGGUUGUCAUGCCAAUGGCACUGCCCGGUAGCUAAAUGCGGAAGAGAUAAGUGCUGAAAGCAUCUAAGCACGAAACUUGCCCCGAGAUGAGUUCUCCCUGACUCCUUGA